RNAcentral lists this long non-coding RNA (215 nucleotides) under Nicotiana benthamiana. RNAcentral's name for it is "long non-coding RNA (NBEN_LNC024795)". Lineage: Eukaryota; Viridiplantae; Streptophyta; Magnoliopsida; Solanales; Solanaceae. The record is from RNAcentral.
UUUUGAAAAACUUUGAUGGACACUACCUCAUCACAAUCGAUUGUCAUAAGGUUUACAAUCGAUUGUCAUGCAGGUUUGGAAAAACCUGAUGUUCACUGCCUUAACACAAUCGAUUGUCAUUAGUUCACAAUCGAUUGUCAUAGUCUUGGCUUAACAUAAUCGAUUAUCUUAAGUACAUAAUCGAUUAUCUUAGUCCAGAUUUUAGAGGCAUGUUU